This 73-nucleotide non-coding RNA is filed under the name unclassified sequences. The record is from Rfam.
GAGCCCCUUAAAAGGCUCAUUAUCUGCGUGUUAAUAGCUUUUCUCAUUGGCCUGGGAAAGUGGUUAGUGAAUC